This is a long non-coding RNA of Gasterosteus aculeatus aculeatus (three-spined stickleback), 1203 nucleotides long. NCBI's taxonomy places the organism in Eukaryota, Metazoa, Chordata, Actinopteri, Perciformes, Gasterosteidae. The record is from Ensembl.
CACACACACACACAGAUGUACACACAGACACACUAACAUUUGGUUCUAAACAAUGACACACACUAAUAUUUAGCUGUACACAAAUACAUAAUAACAAUUAGAUGUACACACAGACACACUAACAAUGACAUCUACACACAGACACACUAUCAUUUGGUUCUAAACAACGACACACACUAAUAUUUAGUUGUACACAAAGACACACACUAACAUUUAGAUGUACACAAAGACACAUUAAUAUUUAGAUGUACACACAGACACACUAACAAUUAGAUGUACACACAUACACACUAACAUUUGGUUCUAAACAAAGACAAACACUAAUAUUAAGAUGUACACAAAGACAAUAACAAUUAGAUAUGUACUCACAGACACACUAACAUUUGGUUCUAAACAAAGACACACAUUUAACAUUUAGAUAUGUACACAAAGACACAUUAAUAUUUAGAUGUACACACAGACACACUAACAAUUAGAUCCACACACAGACACACUAACAAUUAGAUGUACACACAGACACACUAACAUUUGGUUCUAAACAAAGACACACACUAAUAUUUAGAUGUACACAAAGACACAUUAAUAUUUAGAUGUACACACAGACACACUAACAUUUAUAUGUACACACAGACACACUAACAAUUAGAUGUACACACAGACACACUAACAAUUAGAUGUACACACAGACACACUAACAAUUAGAUGUACACACAGACACAUCCUGAUGAUCCUCCUCACGUCUCUUCUCCUUGUCUGCAGACCAACAGGACGCCAUCAGGACGCCACGUCAUCGGGAUGCCAUCAGGACGCCAUCAGGACACCACGUCAUCGGGACACUACGUCAUCGGGACACACUAACAAUUAGAUGUACACACAGACACACUAACAAUUAGAUGUACACACAGACACACUAACAUUUGGUUCUAAACAAAGACACACACUAACAUUUAGAUGUACACAAAGACACACACUAAUAUUUAGAUGUACACACAGACACACUAACAAUUAGAUGUACACACAGACACACUAACAUUUGGUUCUAAACAAAGACACACACUAACAUUUAGAUGUACACAAAGACACACACUAAUAUUUAGAUGUACACAAAGACAUUAAUAUUUAGAUGUACACACAGACACACUAACAUUUGGUACUAAACAAAGACACACACUAAUAUUUAGAUGUACACAAAGACAUAUUAAU